GAUGAAGAACGUAGUGAAAUGCGAUACGUAAUGUGAAUUGCAGAAUUCAGUGAAUCAUCAAAUCUUUGAACGCACAUUGCACUCCUUGGUAUUCCGAGGAGUAUGCCUGUUUCAGUAUCAUGAGCACUCUCACAUCUAACCUUUGGGUUAAAAUGUGGAAUUGGGAUGCGCCGGUUAUUAUAACGGCCCUCCUAAAAUUCAGUUCUUGGCUGCUUCCUACUACAGCAGUUUGGCCUAAUAGUUUUGAGUCUUCGAUUCAAAUCUUUGGCUAACAUUUGCUUCAGGAUGUCAGUCUUGAUAUACAGAAAUCUCAUUCAAACUUUGAUCUGAAAUCAGGUAGGGCUACCCGCUGAACUUAAGCAUAUCAAUAAGCGGAGGA
This 379-nucleotide unclassified non-coding RNA is filed under the name soil metagenome. Its description in RNAcentral is "partial contains 5.8S ribosomal RNA, internal transcribed spacer 2, and large subunit ribosomal RNA". The stretch from base 1 to 120 matches the Rfam family "5.8S ribosomal RNA", at positions 35 to 154 of the family's 154-position model. The record is from RNAcentral.